RNAcentral lists this ribosomal RNA (460 nucleotides) under uncultured Glomus. RNAcentral's name for it is "SSU rRNA". It matches the Rfam family "Eukaryotic small subunit ribosomal RNA", at positions 569 to 1035 of the family's 1831-position model. The record is from RNAcentral. Lineage: Eukaryota; Fungi; Glomeromycota; Glomeromycetes; Glomerales; Glomeraceae.
AGCAGCCGCGGUAAUUCCAGCUCCAAUAGCGUAUAUUAAAGUUGCUGCAGUUAAAAAGCUCGUAGUUGAAUUUCGGGACUAAUAUGUCGGUCGUGCCUCGGUACGUACUGGCUUAUUGGUUUCUCCUUUCUGAAGAACCAUGAUGUCAUUUAUUUGGUGUCGUGGGGAAUCAGGACUGUUACUUUGAAAAAAUUAGAGUGUUUAAAGCAGGCUCACGCUUGAAUACAUUAGCAUGGAAUAAUGAAAUAGGACGUUUGAUUCUAUUUUGUUGGUUUCUAGGAUCGACGUAAUGAUUAAUAGGGAUAGUUGGGGGCAUUAGUAUUCAAUUGUCAGAGGUGAAAUUCUUGGAUUUAUUGAAGACUAACUACUGCGAAAGCAUUUGCCAAGGAUGUUUUCAUUAAUCAAGAACGAAAGUUAGGGGAUCGAAGACGAUCAGAUACCGUCGUAGUCUUAACCAUAA